RNAcentral lists this transfer RNA (71 nucleotides) under Loxodonta africana (African savanna elephant). It matches the Rfam family "tRNA". From Rfam's summary of the family: Transfer RNA (tRNA) molecules are approximately 80 nucleotides in length. Their secondary structure includes four short double-helical elements and three loops (D, anti-codon, and T loops). Lineage: Eukaryota; Metazoa; Chordata; Mammalia; Proboscidea; Elephantidae. The record is from Rfam by way of RNAcentral.
ACACCGGUGGUUCAGUGGUAGAAUUCUUGCCUUCCAUGCAGGGAGCUAGGGUUCAAUUCCUGGCCAGUGUA